This 426-nucleotide ribosomal RNA is filed under the name Triticum aestivum (bread wheat). RNAcentral's name for it is "partial small subunit ribosomal RNA". The record is from RNAcentral. Lineage: Eukaryota; Viridiplantae; Streptophyta; Magnoliopsida; Poales; Poaceae.
AUGGAGGGAGUUCAGAGGAAGCUUCAGUCUAUGAAGCUAUCUGACGCAGAGAAGGAGGAGGUGCAAAUUGGGCGAAGGAGCGCAACCACACAGGGACCAACGAAGCUGGAAGCCAUUGGUAAGCUGAUGUUUGAUAGGUCUGCUAGAGUGGAUGCUCUGAAAACUGCGCUCGGCAGAGUUUGGUGCCCUUUCAAAGGAAUCGAAUGCAAGGAUUUAGGCAUGAACAGGUUUCUGUUCGUGUUUCGGGAGGAAGCAGGGAAGAGGAAAGCACUAGAUGGUGGUCCUUGGAUGUUUAACAAAAAGCUACUUGUGAUAGAAGAUUUCAAUCCAUCUAAAACCUUGGAGGAGUAUCAAUUCAAGUUUACACCAAUUUGGGUAAGACUCUAUGGUAUUCCGAUGGGCUCGAUGUGCAAGGAGACAGGAGAG